CCGCCGAGGAAUGAGGCAGUGACACAGAAGGAUAACUCGAGCCGGGUGAUGGUCAACCCGGUCCAAGCGGUAAGCUUGGGAUGUAGUGAAGUACGCAUCCCUUUAAGGUAAGCCGUGAUGGGGACCGAAAUAAAGUAGGGAAGCGAGUGAGUUCACGCUGGCGAGAAAAGCUGCUAGUAUAUCCGAAGGCGCCCGUACCGGAAACCGACGCAGGUGGGCGAGGAGAGAAUCCUGAGACGAACGGGAGAACCCUUGUUAAGGAACUCGGCAAAAUGACCCCGUAACUUCGGGAGAAGGGGUGCCUCGAAAGAGGCCGCAGAGCAUAGGCCCAAGCGACUGUUUAGCAAAAACACAGGUAUCUGCGAAAGCGAGAGCUGACGUAUAGGUGCUGACACCUGCCCGGUGCUGGAAGGUUAAGGGAAAAUGUCAGGGCAACCGAAGCAUAGAACCGAAGCCCCAGUAAACGGCGGCCGUAACUAUAACGGUCCUAAGGUAGCGAAAUUCCUUGUCGGGUAAGUUCCGACCCGCACGAAUGGUGUAACGAUUUGGGCACUGUCUCAACAGGGGGCCCGGUGAAAUUGAAGUAUGGGUGAAGAUGCCCAUUACCCGCGACUGGACGGAAAGACCCCGUAGAGCUUUACUGUAACCUGAUAUUGGAUUUCGGUAACGGAUGCACAGAAUAGGUGGGAGACUGGGAAAUACGUGUUUCGGCAUGUAUGGAGUCGCCGUUGGGAUACCACUCUUCUGUUAUUGGAAUUCUAACAUGACGCCGUAAGCCGGUGAAUGGACAGUGUCAGGCGGACAGUUUGACUGGGGCGGUCGCCUCCGAAAGAGUAACGGAGGCGCCCAAAGGUACCCUCAGAAUGGAUGGAAACCAUUCGAAGAGUGUAAAGGCAGAAGGGUGCCUGACUGCGAGACUGACAAGUCGAGCAGAGACGAAAGUCGGGCUUAGUGAUCCGGCGGUAUGAGAGUGGAGUUGCCGUCGCUUAACGGAUAAAAGCUACCUCGGGGAUAACAGGCUGAUCUCCCCCAAGAGUCCACAUCGACGGGGAGGUUUGGCACCUCGAUGUCGGCUCGUCGCAUCCUGGGGCUGAAGCAGGUCCCAAGGGUUUGGCUGUUCGCCAAUUAAAGCGGCACGCGAGCUGGGUUCAGAACGUCGUGAGACAGUUCGGUCCCUAUCCAUCGUGGGCGUAGGAGUCAUGAGAGGAGCUGUUCCUAGUACGAGAGGACCGGAAUGGACGCACCACUGGUGCAACUGUUGUUCUGCCAAGGGCACAGCAGGGAAGCGAAGUGCGGAAGAGAUAAACGCUGAAGGCAUCUAAGCGUGAAGCCCACCUCAAGAAUAAGACUCCCAUCUCUAUAAGAGAGUAAGACCCCCGGAAGACUACCGGGCGAUAGGUCAGCGGUGUAAGCGUAGUAAUGCGUGAGCUUGCUGAUACUAAUAGGUCGAGGGCUUGAUC
Molecule: ribosomal RNA, 1460 nt
Filed under: metagenome
Description: bacterial LSU rRNA
Rfam family: Bacterial large subunit ribosomal RNA
Source: RNAcentral